Molecule: ribosomal RNA, 434 nt
Filed under: uncultured bacterium
Lineage: Bacteria
Description: partial 16S ribosomal RNA
Rfam family: Bacterial small subunit ribosomal RNA
Source: RNAcentral
AGCGAACGCUGGCGGCAGGCCUAACACAUGCAAGUAGAACGAACCUUUCGGGGUUAGUGGCGGACGGGUGAGUAACACGUGGGAACGUGCCUUUAGGUUCGGAAUAACUCAGGGAAACUUGUGCUAAUACCGAAUGUGCCCUUCGGGGGAAAGAUUAAUCGCCUUUAGAGCGGCCCGCGUCUGAUUAGCUAGUUGGUUGAGGUAAUGGCUCACCAAGGCGACGAUCAGUAGCUGGUCUGAGAGGAUGAUCAGCCACAUUGGGACUGAGACACGGCCCAAACUCCUACGGGAGGCAGCAGUGGGGAAUCUUGCGCAAUGGGCGAAAGCCUGACGCAGCCAUGCCGCGUGAAUGAUGAAGGUCUUAGGAUUGUAAAAUUCUUUCACCGGGGACGAUAAUGACGGUACCCGGAGAAGAAGCCCCGGCUAACUUCGUG